GGGGGCGUACUGGCUUCGACGUGUAUUGUUGAUUGACUGAGAGCAUGCCGAGCUUUGGUUUUGUGCUCGCUAAACAAAUGACCACAACAAUAAGUGCAGAAACAACAGUUCCUGCCAGUAACUUAAUGCUUGCCCUUUUUGCCGGUAUGUUUGCACUCUUGGGUGCUUUCCGCCGCAAAGAUGAGCAAACAGCUUUCGCUGUAGCUUAAGUUACGACCUUUUUUAAGUGACGUGUUCACCAGUUGCUUAGAAUCGUAUUAUCAAGAUGAAACAACAAGCAAGAUUUUUUCUUUGUAGGAGCUUGUUCGAUUGCUAUAAAGGACUUUGUUACAUUACCAUGUCUCUAUGGGUGUAACCUUGUAUAAGUAGAGGCUGAGCAUGGAGUGCUUAGCAUUUGAUGACAUACGGACAUGGGUUCGAUUCCCAUCGCCUCCACCA
Molecule: transfer-messenger RNA, 438 nt
Filed under: Candidatus Babelota bacterium
Lineage: Bacteria
Also listed under: 1 other name
Rfam family: transfer-messenger RNA
About the family: Bacterial tmRNA, also known as 10Sa RNA or SsrA, is named for its dual tRNA and mRNA-like properties. Its role is to liberate the mRNA from a stalled ribosome. To accomplish this part of the tmRNA is used as a reading frame that ends in a translation stop signal.
Source: RNAcentral